AGCUUUUAGUUUCGAACCUGGAAGGCUCAGAUCUACAAAAGGCCCCAACUUCCCGGCCUUGAUAUCACCGGACGUGCAACACGCGUCAUUGUCCCCUUUACUUUUAAGGCCUUAAGGAUUUUAUUUAUUUUCAGUCUGGGGUGCAUUACAUUGUUGUGUUGGAGAAGAUUGAGGUUGGAAGUGAUGUUACAAAACUUCCUACCAAGUGGUGGUGGUGGUGUUAUUGAUACAAUAUCCGGCAGCAGUUCAUACAAAAAUAUGGCAUUUUUUGGCAGUGGUAUAACAUUGGCUUAUUUACCACCAGGGUUGCAGGAACCAAUAGUGAAGAAGGGGUUGAUGUUAACUAUGAAGAAAUAAUUGAAGCCACUUCAAUUGGCUUUAGUUCAAUGAUUUCCAAAUUUGUUCGAAUGUUGGAUUUGGAGAAGGGAAUGAUGGACUACCUAUAUGCAAAGUACACUCCUUGUAUCACAGAUUGUAAUGGCAGAGCUUGAGAAGUUGGGUCAGAAAUAUCGUGUGGCUCUGGGGAACACCAAAGAUCCCCAUUUAGAGACUACUGUGCACUCAUAAAGGGACCUAUGCUGAUGACGGUCUUGUGGAUAGAGCUACCCAGGUA
Rosa rugosa (rugosa rose) is the source of this 613-nucleotide long non-coding RNA. RefSeq lists it as uncharacterized. The transcript is spliced from 6 exons. NCBI's taxonomy places the organism in Eukaryota, Viridiplantae, Streptophyta, Magnoliopsida, Rosales, Rosaceae. The record is from RefSeq and is a predicted model, not a curated record.